UCAAUAAGCGGAGGAAAAGAAACCAACAGGGAUUGCCCUAGUAACGGCGAGUGAAGCGGCAACAGCUCAAAUUUGAAAUCUGGCUCCUUUGGGGUCCGAGUUGUAAUUUGUAGAGGGUGCUUUGGCGUUGGUUGUGGUCUAAGUUCCUUGGAACAGGACGUCACAGAGGGUGAGAAUCCCGUACGUGGCCGCCAGCCUCCGCCGUGUAAAGCCCCUUCGAUGAGUCGAGUUGUUUGGGAAUGCAGCUCUAAAUGGGAGGUAAAUUUCUUCUAAAGCUAAAUAUUUGCCAGAGACCGAUAGCGCACAAGUAGAGUGAUCGAAAGAUGAAAAGCACUUUGGAAAGAGAGUCAAAAAGCACGUGAAAUUGUUGAAAGGGAAGCGCUUGCAGCUAGACGUGCCUUGGGUUGAUCAGCCGGACUUUUGCCCGGUGCACUCUUCCUUUGGCAGGCCAGCAUCAGUUUGGGCGGCUGGAUAAAGGUCUGUUAAACGUGACUUCCUUCGGGGAGAGCUUAUAGGGCAGACGACAUGCAGCCAACCUGAACUGAGGUCCGCGCAUCUGCUAGGAUGCUGGCGUAAUAGCUGUAAGCGGCCCGUCUUGAAACACGGACCAAGGAGUCUAACAUCUAUGCGAGUGUUUGGGUGUCAAGCCCGAGCGCGUAAUGAAAGUAAACGGAGGUGGGAACCUUUUAGGUGCACCAUCGACCGAUCCUGAUGUCUUCGGAUGGAUUUGAGUAAGAGCAUAGCUGUUGGGACCCGAAAGAUGGUGAACUAUGCCUGAAUAGGGUGAAGCCAGAGGAAACUCUGGUGGAGGCUCGCAGCGGUUCUGACGUGCAAAUCGAUCGUCAAAUUUGGGCAUAGGGGCGAAAGACUAAUCGAACUAU
Molecule: ribosomal RNA, 881 nt
Filed under: Guttulispora crataegi
Lineage: Eukaryota; Fungi; Ascomycota; Dothideomycetes; Pleosporales; Lophiostomataceae
Description: eukaryotic LSU rRNA
Rfam family: Eukaryotic large subunit ribosomal RNA
Source: RNAcentral